AGAUCUGCAUUGGGCGUAAAGUGUGCGCAGGCGGUUUUGUAAGACAGAGGUGAAAUCCCCGGGCUCAACCUGGGAACUGCCUUUGUGACUGCAAGGCUGGAGUGCGGCAGAGGGGGAUGGAAUUCCGCGUGUAGCAGUGAAAUGCGUAGAUAUGCGGAGGAACACCGAUGGCGAAGGCAAUCCCCUGGGCCUGCACUGACGCUCAUGCACGAAAGCGUGGGGAGCAAACA
RNAcentral lists this ribosomal RNA (230 nucleotides) under uncultured Alicycliphilus sp. RNAcentral describes it as "partial 16S ribosomal RNA". It matches the Rfam family "Bacterial small subunit ribosomal RNA", at positions 553 to 774 of the family's 1533-position model. The record is from RNAcentral. Lineage: Bacteria; Pseudomonadati; Pseudomonadota; Betaproteobacteria; Burkholderiales; Comamonadaceae.